Molecule: long non-coding RNA, 641 nt
Filed under: Daucus carota (carrot)
Lineage: Eukaryota; Viridiplantae; Streptophyta; Magnoliopsida; Apiales; Apiaceae
Description: long non-coding RNA (DCAR_LNC004769)
Source: RNAcentral
UGCAUUCAUCUUUUUUCCAUCAUUCAAAGCAGAAUCCCUCUGUCUCUCCCCAUUUAUUAUUUCCACUUCUUUGCUUCCAUUCUCUUCACCUGAUCCUGGUACCAAAGCCUCAUUGCUCACAUCCAUUCCACUCCUAUUUGUCAACUCCCCAUCCUUUUUAUCUUUCUCUUUUAUCUCCGGAAAAUUAUCCUCAGUUACUGCUACAGCCACACUCUGAUUAUCAACAUCAUGAUUUUUCUUAUCAUCCUCUUCGGUUCUUCCACACACAUCGUCAAUACCACUAGCUUCAACAAUAGAAUCAACCGCAGACACAGUGGUACCAGUUGCAGCAGGUAUAUCCGGGCAGCCAUCCUUAACAACAGAAUCUUCAGCAGCUGAAGGUUUAUUUCCACAUCCCUCCUUAACAACAGCAUCUUCAGAAGACACAGCAGGUACAUCUCCACAUCCAUUCUUAACACCAGCAUCUUCAGAAGGCACAGCAGGUAUAUCUCCACAUCCACCCUUAACAACAGAAUCUUCAGCAGCAGCAGCCUCUAGAUCUCCACAUUCAUCCUUAGUGACAGUACCAUUAGCAGCCGCAGCAGGUACAUCUCCACGUCCAUCCUCAACGACUGUAUGCUCAGCAGCAGUCAUUUCAACAU